RNAcentral lists this ribosomal RNA (112 nucleotides) under Calidris pygmaea (Spoon-billed sandpiper). The record is from RNAcentral. Lineage: Eukaryota; Metazoa; Chordata; Aves; Charadriiformes; Scolopacidae.
CCCAAUAUUUGUACCACCCCUGAGAACACCUCUCUUGUCUGAUCUUGGAAGCCAAGCAGGGUCAGGCAUGGUUAAUAUUUUGAUGGGAGACCGCCCAGCAGGGGUGUAGGGC